GAUUAAAUGGCUGAAUUUUAGGCGAUAGAUUGUAAAUCUAUUUAUGGGAAUAUAUCUCUUUAAUCA
This 66-nucleotide transfer RNA is filed under the name Thaumatomyia glabra. RNAcentral describes it as "tRNA-Tyr". It matches the Rfam family "tRNA". Rfam says of the family: Transfer RNA (tRNA) molecules are approximately 80 nucleotides in length. Their secondary structure includes four short double-helical elements and three loops (D, anti-codon, and T loops). The record is from RNAcentral. Lineage: Eukaryota; Metazoa; Arthropoda; Insecta; Diptera; Chloropidae.